Molecule: non-coding RNA, 30 nt
Filed under: Homo sapiens (human)
Lineage: Eukaryota; Metazoa; Chordata; Mammalia; Primates; Hominidae
Source: RNAcentral
UCCUAAGUUGGGGCUGAGUAAAGACAUAUU